AGGCACUUUACAGGUAAAGAAACUGAGUCUUAGAGAAGUUAAAUAAUUUGUAGAGGGUUAUUCAGCUAUACAAGGAUGAGGCCAGGAUGUUAACUAGGUCUGUUGAACCAUAAAAACUUCUAUUACUCUCAUGCUGCUUCUGUAUAUAAAAUUGAAGUGGGCCAUUCAUUCUGCUUCACCCAAACACCCAUAUAUUCUGUAAGGCAGGCUUACUUUGAAAUUACAUGUGCCAUUCAUUUGUACUUUUCUUUUUUAUCUACUCUUUUCUCACCAAGUGUCCAGCUGCCUCAAAGUUUUUAAUGAUGGCUGAUGCAGAAGUAUGUAGUGCUGAAUUUGGCCCUUAGACUGUAAAAUUAAAAAGUGUUUCCAUCCCACUCACACAUCCUACAAAUUUCCUUAUAUUUGUGGGUUAUAGCCAUCACUUAAACAGUGUUUUUUAUAUUUAAUUUAAAAAUAAACUCUAAUAUUUUUUAAAACAAAUCUGUCAUAACUCAUAGAAUUAAAUGAUUAUUAUCCUUUAAAAUGGUCCCCUUGGGAAGCCAUGCACUUACUGCAGUGACGCUAGUAUUACUUAGAACUUUUUUGAAACUUUUCUUUUGGAAUUACCUCCAAAGACAUUUUACAAACCACAUAAAUAAGCCAUCUCAGUGUUUAAUAGUCACAGACUAGACUCCCUCGUCCUCAUGACCUCUCCUCUCUUCCUUCCUCAGUUUUGCUUUUGUUCUGCUGGCUUAGCUCUCCUACCCGUCUAUGCUGGAGCCUGUAACCUAAGGAUUCCCAGAAAGGGGGGUGCUGGCCAGAGUGCCUGGAGCAAGAACGUUAGGUUAUACUGAAGCUGAGUGCUGUAAAGGGAGAAUCCUCUGAAUCCAAAACCUUCCUCUGUGGGCUGUCUGCCUGUAAGUGCCGUAAGUAGUUUGCACAGGAGUAAGGACUGAAUACCAGUAAUAUCAAUCAUGAGAAGCUGAGGAAACCUGAAAUAUAAAUAUUCAGUGUACAGCAUUUUUCUCCAGUAAACGUACAGAAACCAAACCAAACCAUGCUUUGUGUUAACUUGAAAACUGAAAGGUCUUUCUCAGGGUCCCCUUUGCCCUUCUUUGCUGCCACAUGAAAUCUUUGGGAGGAAGGAUGAAGAAAAAGCCUGAGAAAAAGGUUCUCCUGUGAAAUGGGACAUUUUCUUCUCUUGUGAUAAAGUAUACUGUGGCUGUGGCUCUCAGGUGCUUAUGUUAGACAAUGUUCUUAAGUAGUCAGAGGCCUAAUAAAAGGUCGGGAAGCUUCCCCAUUAGCCUAAAUUAAUGUCAACAGUUCAGGUUAUGUUGUGUUUUUAGUAACACUUCAUUUUGUUUCUAACAAGUGGUAACUCACUAUUUAUAUUCAUUAAUUUUACACUGUUUUACAGAGAAACUUUUUGGGUAUUAUAAACAAUCAAUGGUAAAAUUAGAUCCACAUAUUAUCCACAUCACUGCCCUCAAAGAAAUUGUUUGUUGUGGGAGACAAGAACUCCAUCUGUGCAAUAUUAACAAAAGAAAUAAAUUGAAAUAAAAAGUAAAAGAUGUCAAAGGCAAAUGAUUUGCCCAAGAUCAAAGCUACUUAGCACAAAAGCUAGAAGUAUAACCAUAGUUUAAGAAAAAAAUCCUCAAAGUAAUUUAACUGAAUUUUUGUUAUGCCAUAUCAGGUUGCCUGCGGAGGCUGUGGUCUUUCAGAUCAGCUAAACAUUCCAAAUCAGGCAAUAGCCAUAGUGGAAAGAAUUGGAUGGGGAACCAAGAUAUCAGAGUUCUAGUUCUGGCUUUGUCUCCUGUAGUAAGCUUUUUCUCAGGGGUGGCUGCCUUCUUCCAUUCCAGCCAGGGAUUCCCCCACCAUAAACCUUAGUGGUCACCAACUGGACACUCUUCAUUCUUUAAUCUAGCCUCUCACAGGGUCCUGUCAGUUCUUUAAAUGUUGGUUGUAUCCAUUUCUAAAUAUAUUAUGGUCAUCACUCUAGUAAAAGACUAUUACCUCACACUCCCUACCUCAUCUUCCCCAAGUUUAAGCCAUUCCUCACAUCACUGCCACAAGAAUGAGAACCAGGUCCAUCUUGCAUUUUUCUGCUGAAAUGUUUUCGGUGGCUCCCAUUGAAUACCUGAUAAAGUGCACAUCCCUUAGGUUGGCAUUCACAGCCUUCCAUAUUCUGGCCCCAGCUUUAUUUCUUCAAGCUCACUGCUCACCAUCUGACGGUGCCACUGAAAUCAUUCCACAAGAAUGAUUUUAAGGUUUUUCUAUGGUGAAAUACAAAUUGGUAGUAAACUAUGUUUACAUUUUUCCAGUCUAAAAUUUCUGUGAUACUACAUUUUACAAAACUAGUCAACUGAGAUUUGUUUAAGCUCUUGAAUAAGCCUAAAAGUUGUUUCCUAAGGAAAAGAAAUCUUUUGUGCCCCCCAGAAGAAAUUACAUGCAGUUUCUUAACCUCCAAAACAAUGUCAGUCUUGUCACCUGUGCAUCCUGUAGCCAAAGCAUGAGGAUUUUUCUUCAGCAGCAGACACUCCAGCCUUGAAUGAACCAUUGUCCAGCUCCUGUGAGAAACUUGACUAAAAUAUUUCAGAGAACCCUCAAGAGUACAUGUUAUCCAUAUAUUUCUCAAGUACUUGAGAUUUUCUUACAUUAAGGUUAAUCACUAAGAAGAUGUUUACCUGGUUCCAUUAAUUUAAUCCCCUAAAAGUGUUUUCCCUUCUAUUGUUAAACCCUUGGUGUUGGUAAGGGUCAGCACAAGAAAAGGCCCAACAGUGAGAAUUGCUACAAAUUCUGUAAAGCUUACUGAAUUUGUUUUUUAUGUUGCUGAGUGGUGCUUGUAUAAAGAAACAUGCAAUAAAUUCACUCAUUCAACAAACAUUUAACUGAACAAAUGCCUGUUGUGUUGAGCGCCAGGGCCAUACGUAGAAAAAUGUUAGACCUAUAGAAUCUGCCCUUGUAAACUAUUCAGGCUAAUGGAUUCAGAUAUCUAAAGCAAGUAAAUCACAGUAAAAUACGGUAAGUACCCUACAAGAGGAAGGAACAAAGUAAUACGAGGGCAGAGACUGGAGUGACUAGCUUGCCUGGAGAAGAAGAGGAAGGCUUUGUGGAACGUGUGGUAUGUGAGCAGUACCCUAAAGAAGAAUAUGCCUGACUGAAGACAGUUGUGGGCUUUCAAGUAGCAGAGGAAUUGCAUGUACAAAGAGUUCAAAACAGGAAAGAGCAGAGUGUGCUUAGAGAAAGCAAACGAAUUAAAUGCUGUGAGUGACAAAGCUGAUUAGAUGGAAAUACAGACUAAAGUGGUUAUAUAUUUUUUUAAUUUAAUGAUUCUUUGUUUGAAGGAAUUAAUGUAUUGCUUGGUAUCAGAUAAGACUGUUAUAACUCUCUGAGUUCUUCAUUUUGCCUUCAUUGCCGGGAAAGUUAGUAAUAAACCUCACAUUUGCCUGGGCUCUUGGUAUAUUUGGCAUAUUUGCUUUCCUUUCCCACAUGUAAGAAAUGAUUUGUGCUUUCUUGCCUCUCUGCUGUGAGAUGCCCUGCUUAAAAUUGAAUGCCUGCUUUCUUCCUGUCCUGCUAUUCAUUCCAUAAAUAUUUAUUGAAACCUACUGAGAAAAUAGUCAUGAAAUUUACCUUUUAGUGUACAAGACCUUCAUGGACCUGUUUUCCAUCUCUACAUGAAUAUUUCCUGGCCACUGCAAUUCAGUGGCUCCCAUUUUCACUUGUGGCUAAUUCUGCAAUGUUUUACAACUUCAUAGGUAUAAAAUUCUUUGAUUCAUGGUGGUGUGAUCUCCUCAACUAGAUUGUAAGCUUCUUUCAGGGCAGGGACCAUAUCAUCUGCUUCUUGGAGUAUUUCAUGGCAUGAUAUGGUGAUGAGAAGAGGGAGAGAAACGAGACCCCGUUAGUGACUCCCAGAUGAUGAGUGAUGGGGUCAUGGUAUGUGCGUCCUGCCGUCCUUCAGGGAUAUGUAUUGAAAUGUGAAAAAGCUUUCUAAGACAUACCAAACUUUUGCUCGGUACUCAUGUUUCUAUAUUAACAUAGGAAUGAAUGAAGCAACAGAAGAAAUCUGGAAAACAUCUCUAGGACUUGGAAGUCAUGAAUUGAGAAUUUCAGAAUUUGGAGGUAAAGAUAUUUCUACCUGUUUUUCUAGUGCAAAGUCAUGACUUGGAAGAGAGAGGAUAUAGGACCUGAAUCACUGAAGAAAUGACUGGCCCUGGGCUAACAUCCAUGCCCAUCUUCCUCUACUUCAUAUGGGACGCCACCAGAGCAUGGCUCGAGAAGCGGUGCAUCAGUGCGCACCCAGGAUCCAAACCUGCGAACCCUGGGCCACGGAAGCGGAGCGCGCACACUUACCCACUUGUGCCACCGGCUGGUGCGGAAAAUUGUUUAUCUUCUGUCUUACCAUAGGAUUGGUGGGGUUGGAAUAGUAGGGACGCAAGAGGGAUUUAUUAUCCAUUGACCUAGUAUUGAAACAGAGUAGCAGCAGGAGUUUAAUUGCUCCGUCAGGCAAGCAGAGAUUGGAAUGAGCCAAGGGCAGCGCUGAAGUGAGGAGGUGAGCAUCUGGUACGAUUUGAACCAAGGUCUCUAAUACUCUAAUACAGUUCAUAUACUGAUUCCACCAGACAGCCUCUCAGUGAGUUGAUAGGAAUGAAAAGGAAUAAAGUGCUUGGCACUUACUAAUUCUCUAUGGACCUUGGUUCCCUUUCUUUCUUCUGUAAGUUUUAUUGUUCAUAACAGAUUGCUGCCUCUUAUCUGGGUAAGACUUCCUCAGCCCUCCCCCUCCCUGUUGAUACCUUGCCUAUCUUACAGGGUGGUCAUGAAGAUUAAAAGAACUAAGACAUGUUAAGUGCCUAGCCUGGCUCAGUAGCUGUAUAAAUGUUAGUUGCUACUAUUAUUAUUGUAAUUGUUACUAUUAUUAUUUUUUCCCAAAGUUUAAAGGAAAGGCACAUUAAUGGGAAAGUAUCAUGUACCUACAAGAAUAGUGUUAGGAAGACACCUAAAAUGAGUAGAGACUUGAUAAAAGUACCAAGAAUUCUUAAAAUGACUUUUUAAAGAGGCUUAGUUAUUAAGAAGGUGGUAUAAUGAUGACAGAUGCCUAGUAAAUCUUUUUCAUCUCUGUUAAGAAUGAUAUCGAAACAUGAAAAUGCGUAAGAUCUGGUUAGGAGUAGCGUGAUCACACAUCCCAGUCUGUCUGCGACAGUCUUGAUUUAUAUCUCGUCUUGAUGAAAUAUUACUAAUGCUCCCUUUCAAUUGUCUUGGUUUGGGUGAAAAAAAAUUAUAUGGUCAUCCUAGUUAUAAGGGCAAUGAAAAUAAGUGUGGAGUUACAAAAAAAAAAAAAACUGUGUUUGAAAAGAAUUUAUCAUUUCUAGGCUCCGAUGAAAAAGCAUCCAAAAGUUAGUGGGAACUUAUAGAUGUGAUUGUAAAGUACUACCAGUAAUUUUUGAGGGACCAGAAAACAGAAAAGGUGUCAGAACAGUGAGCCUGGGAAAAACUCUAAAAUUUAAGGGAGUAUAUUUGGAUUCCGGAAGCCACAGACCAGGGACUUUACCUUGUAAUUCUAAAAAAUUUCUGAAAUGGACUGUUAAACAAUGUUUUAAGUCAGAAAGCCAUGCUCAUUAUGAAGACAUGAAGAAUGAUGAAUUUAGAAGAAUUAAUAAGUCAGAAUAGAUGCCCUGUUCUAUCUCCCUCACUGUGUGCAUAGCCAGGGAUGCCCUGCUCAUUGCCCCUCUUGGACAAUGCUUAGGGCAGGAAAACAAUCAUAGUAUUAAGCUUUCAAGAUUGAUCUGAUUCUACCUAGGCAAGUUUACACAUGUCAUCAGGAGAGCAGGCAUACAGGCACCCAUACCAAUAUGUAAAACACGAGACACAGCACAGACAGGCACGUACGUGAUCUUUCACCUCAGUGGCCAAGUUGGGAGAGAAACAAGAGGGCCGCAAUACCUAGCAAUACUUUGCUAUUACAGUAAAUACUAAUAGAGAAUAAUGACAGCCUCUAUUAACAUAAUUCCCUUGGGAGGGAGAAGGAGCCUGAUGUGUUUAGGAAAGUAUAGCUCUUUCUGUUCCUAGCCAAGAAACCACUUCCUGGAGGAAGACUGCCCUGACCCCCAAAGCUGUACACACACCUUCACGGCCCUGUGGUUAACUCACAGCAUAGCACGUACAACCUUCUGUUAUAAUCAUCUGUUUACUCAUCUGUUUUGCUCCUUCACUCAACUUUCAGCUCCAUGAUGAUAGGGGCAGUCUUGUUCACGGUUGUAUCCAUAGCCUGGCAACAGCAGAUAAUAAAUGCUUGCUGACUGGUAAUUGUAUGAUGUUUUGUAAACCACAUAUGGUAUUCUGUCAACUCACUAGAGUCUCUCCUUCCAAAAGGCUGGGUGACUAAGCUAGGGGUCAGAUCUACCUCACAAAAAAGGUGCAUCGUUCAUGAGCAAGUUACCAGCACCUCUGUAGGACUCUGCAUGGCCCAAGGGGGCACUUAAGUGUCAUUUUGAUAGUUAGGUAUCUCUGGGUCGGUGUAAGAUCUAUUCUAGACUAAAACUCUUAGGACCCCAAAGCCAAUUUAGGAUAUAGGAAUAAAGGUGACUAGACAUCAGAUAAUUGGGAUUCACGGAUGAGCCAGCAGUCCAUUCCAGUUGUGGUGAUGCUUUCUUGUUCUUUAUUCAUUUGUUCAUUUAUUUAGUAUGUAAUGGGGCUUUUUUUAAAUCAGAGAUUUAUUGAUCACCUGCAGUGCUCUAGGUUGCUGGGAAUAUGCUUCCAGGGCAUUCACGUGGUGAUAAGGAAAAGGGACAAAUGUACUUCCAACUUUGUAUUAGACUGGGUACUCUAAACACAUAAAUAAAGGGCUGUGGGGCCACAGGGGAUGAUAACUGUCCUGGGCAUUGAAGACUGGAUGGCAGGAAUUUACUAGCCAAGGCAGGGGAGAGGGAGGAGAGCGGCAUCUCAGAGAAGCAAUUUGUAAGCGACACUUUUCCUCUUCAAGGGACUCCAAAACCUAUUGUGUAAGGGCAAGCCAGCCCUUCUCCAGUGUGCUCUGCAGGAGGGAGCUGUGACCCUUCAACUGAAGGCUAGGUUUGAGUUAUCAGCACAUGGAUUCAUAUAGCUCCCCAUUCUGAUUCAAGUACAAUUAAUCUAAAAAAUAACUUUAAAACUUGAAAAACUUGUGACUCUGGUCAUCUGGAUUCUGAGUAAAAUUUUCACAAAUAUGAUAUUAUGACAAAUUGAAUUAGUAACAAGUCUCAAAUAGAAAUAUUUUAUAAAUAUAGUUUUAUUACUUGCAAAUACAUACAAAAAUGUAAACACAGCUAAAAAACAAUUGCCAAGCAGAAGUCCUAUCCAACCUGUUUUAAGGAACACAUAAAAGUUAUAAUCAGCAUAAAACAAUUUAAAUCCUGAAACAACAUAUUUGGGGGUUGGAAAGUCUUCAGGGUCUUUAAAUAUCGGGCUUAAAAAUUGGUUAUUGUUUUAUUCUUUAUACCUAUUUAAAUUCUUCCCCCCAAAUACAGACCACUAAUGUUUCAGUUUGGUUCAUGAGAUGUUUUAUUUAGAAAAAUAGCUAAAGCCAUAUAACUAUAAUUAUUUUGAAAACUGGAAUACCUUUUGUCCAUUUCCAGUCUUCUGUCACCCUACAUUCUCCAUGGUUUCUCAAAAAUUCCCAGUAGUUGCUAACAAAGUAUUUGCAACUUCCAGCAGCUCUCUGGGAUACCGAAGUUUGGGCCUAAGAGCCCUGAAAUUAUUUAAGGUGGCCAGAGUUUUUUUACUUCUCAUUUUUGUGGUUUUAUGUCAUUUUAUUCUUGUCCGUCCAGACUAUGUCUCCUUGUCAGAGAAAAAAUGGAGUUAUUCUGCUUUUCCUGUUAACCCAUUACACUGCUUUACCCAUUCUUUUUGCCCUCGGGGUUUCUUUUAAAGCCUUUUUGGCAACUUUAGCAUUUUAUGCAAAUUUAAGCUCAUUUUGAGCUUCAACAUCUCAAACACUUUUAUAUUUCUCUCCUCUUUUUGGCCUUUUCAUGCACGUUUUUCCUUCUUUUGUACAUGAUCUGUGACAACUUGACUUCAUCAGAGCUCUCUCUGAGAUGCUCUAAAUGCCUAUUUCUCUAUCUUCCUCUCUAGGUUCAUUUAACUUUUAAAAAAUGUUCAGAAUUUCAUCUAAAGAAAGUUUUCCUCCUCUUAUGGUCCCCUCAGUACUGGAACAAUUUUUGAAAAACUAGAAAAGGUAGCGGGCUGACAAGCAGAAGGGCCUGCUUCUGGUUUUGGUUUUGUCACUCAACCGUGCUCUUCACUCUAUCUUGCAUCCCCUCUCUCCACAGCUGACGAGCCUGAGGCCCAGAGUAGAUUGGAUAAAAUGAGAAGACCUCCACCUGUAAUAGUCUCUGAUUCAUGGUUCAGACAGGAAGAAGUCUCAAUUGUGAGUUCUAGAUUCCUGGAAGUUCUCUCUGUACAUCCAGCUGGUCGCAAAUCCCCAUGGAAUCUACAUCUUGGCCAUCUCUUGUGUCUGUUCUCCAUCUCUGCUGUCACUGUCUUAGUUCUGGCCAUUCUCUCUCCUCUGCUGGACUCAUUUUAUCAUACUUAGACCUGCGGCCACAGUAUUCUUUCUCAAAUUUAAAUAUGAACGUACUUCCCUGCUUAAAAUCUGUUGAUGGAUCUUCGCUGCCUGUAAGAUACAGUACAUAUCCCUUAGCUUGGCAUACAAAGCCCUGCACAAUCAGCUCUCAUUUCUUUCUCCAACUUCCUUUUUUCCUAGCCACAGGCCGUCCCCACCCCACCCCCCCAUGCACUAGCCCUAUGGCAAGAACUUGUUCUCUCUAAUGCAUGUUGCUGUUUUGCACUUGAGCUUGUUAAUGACUUUUUAUGAAAUUGGGCACCAAGUUCUGAAUGAGUGCUGAGCCCUUCGGAUUACAGAAAUUACCUAAGGUCACUUUGCAUCUCUCAUUCAUUCAAUAAACAUUUGAUGAUGACUUCUAAGUGUCCAGAAAUGCUAGACACUGGAGAUACAGACAUAAAAUUCAGUAUUCUUGCCCUCAAUGGCUUCACAGUCUAGAGAAGACAGCGACAGUGGCAGGGCUAGAGCCUAAAUCCCCACGUGCAUGAAUGCUAAAUAAUGCAGCCUCAAAUCCACUCCCUUUUUUAACAGCCACUCAGUUAUGUUAGAUCACAUUGAUCAUGUGCUCCUUGAGGCCUUUUUCAUAAUAGCUACUCUCAAGCCAGCCCUCUGCAACCCAAUACUUGAGUGUUAUUAUUUUUUAAAGCCAAUUACAAGAUUACAAGUUUAUUCCAGUUAAUUGUAUGUGCUGCUUUUGAUUUGGUGUGCUAGCUUGUUGAAUGUUUGUGAAUUUUCAUUCUGACCACCUCAGGUUUGGUCCAUCCUCUGAUCUGAAGACUACAACUCUGAUUUCAAAGUUGUUGAUUAAAAGCAAUGACGAGAACAGAACUAAGGCCCAACCUUUAGGAAGCUCUGUGCUUUUCUAGUUAAUCUGGUAAAAUAUACUAAACAUGCCCCUUAUCACCUUACUAUUAACAACAUUUAUUACUGUGAAUGUAAUGGUGGAUAAGUCAUGCAUAACUAAGAAAUCUAGGCUGCUUUUUAAAAAUAACAAUCAUUAAAUAUCUAUUAUAAAUAUUCACUUUAUUUUAAAAGAAUUGGAAGAUGUUACAUAUAUUACAUACUACAUAUAAUGGCACAUGUCAGCCUUUUAAGAUUAAAAAUAAUCUUUCCCCAAACUGGGGCUGACUUAGACUCGACUCCAAGUAUAAAAUGACUCUUGGCCUAUAGCACCAACCCAGGCCCAGAGGAAGGCCAAUUUUGAACCUGUCUGUCCUCUGGCAUUGGGCUUCCUGAUAUGAUACUGAGGGUCUUCACCCUCCGGUUUUGUUCCCUGGCAGUACUGAGGCCUGACACAGGGACCCAUUUGACUGUACACUGCAGGCCUGGGAUAUCAGGGAAUCUAGAGGGGGAAGGGGCCUCUAACAAUUUUACAAUGGAAAAAAACUAAAAAUGUAUGUAUGUGCCUUAUUGUCUUAGUUUUUGAUCUGUACAACUAUAACAAGACUCGACAAGAUAGAAGAAGGUUAGAAUUAUUGAAAUACAAUUGCUCUGCUGGUUUUUCUCUUUGGAAAUCGAAGUGUCAUGAUAGGAAGAGCCUUAAAAGUCAGUUCAAUACUGGUAACCUGCUCCACUAGUAUCUCCCUUUCCCAGAUUUAGGUAUAAUUCAAAGUUUUAAAUGCCAUCCAUAUGCCACUUUGUUAGACAAACACAGAGAAAUUUAAUAACACUUUUCAUUCUCUUUUUCCUAAAUCAUAAGGACAAUUCCUGCCAAAUGUUCUGGCUUAUGGCUCUCCUCCUCUUCAUAGUAUGUUUAAGUUACACAUUAAGAAUCCAAAAAAUACCACUAUGGAAUUUUCAUAAGCAAUAUCCGACCAGUCAGUAAAACACAGUACACAGUGUGAAAAUUUUAAUUUAUUCCCCUCCCAAGUAUCCAGAAUAUAUACCCCCUUAGUUUUGAGAAAUGUGAUAAUGAAAAUACCAACAGAAUUGAUCAUAUGUAAAGAAAAGAAAGAAAAGCACAUACUACACAGGAAACGUCCCUAAGUCCUCCCUAACCUAGUAGUGCAAGUUAAUGUUAUGUUUCUGGCAAUGUCACCUUUCACUUGAUUUAUAAAAAUUUUACAGGACAGAUUUAAAGCAAAGAUAGGCCUCUGAUUUUUAUUUGUUUUUAACCCUAGCAGAUUUUUAAAAAGAGGCUAUAUUAAAUGACAAUGCAUUUUGAGUCAGGGGGAAAAAAAAUUAAAAA
Molecule: long non-coding RNA, 10760 nt
Organism: Diceros bicornis minor
Lineage: Eukaryota; Metazoa; Chordata; Mammalia; Perissodactyla; Rhinocerotidae
Exons: 2
Source: RefSeq, a predicted model, not a curated record